GCGGUGUGGGAUGGGCCCGCGGCCUAUCAGCUUGUUGGUGAGGUUACGGCUCACCAAGGCGACGACGGGUAGCCGGCCUGAGAGGGUGUCCGGCCACACUGGGACUGAGAUACGGCCCAG
This 120-nucleotide ribosomal RNA is filed under the name uncultured bacterium. RNAcentral's name for it is "partial 16S ribosomal RNA". It matches the Rfam family "Bacterial small subunit ribosomal RNA", at positions 215 to 334 of the family's 1533-position model. The record is from RNAcentral.